Dichanthelium oligosanthes is the source of this 233-nucleotide microRNA precursor. It matches the Rfam family "MIR159 microRNA precursor family". The record is from Rfam. Lineage: Eukaryota; Viridiplantae; Streptophyta; Magnoliopsida; Poales; Poaceae.
AUUUUGUAAGUGGAGUGCCCUUCAAACCAAUGAAGGGUCGUUUUUAAGGGUGGUACAGCUGCUCGUUCAUGGUUCCCACUAUCCUAUCUCAUCAGCUUUGUGAGUGUUUGUGAGAUCUAGUGAGAUGAUUUGUAACUGGUUUGAGAUAGGCUUGUGGUUUGCAUGACCGAGGAGCUGCAUCGUCCCCUUGCUGACCGCUCUUUGGUUUGAAGGGUGCUCUACAUCUUGAUCCC